GGGCGUGUGNNNNNGUGGUAUGAUUCUCGCUUUGGGCUUUCUCCUGUCCAAACUGGAGAACAAGCAUGCGAGAGGCCCUGGGUUCAAUUCCCAGCUCGCCCC
This 102-nucleotide transfer RNA is filed under the name Saccharomyces kudriavzevii IFO10990. Its description in RNAcentral is "tRNA-Leu (CAA) (tRNA-Leu-CAA-1-1)". It matches the Rfam family "tRNA". From Rfam's summary of the family: Transfer RNA (tRNA) molecules are approximately 80 nucleotides in length. Their secondary structure includes four short double-helical elements and three loops (D, anti-codon, and T loops). The record is from RNAcentral. Lineage: Eukaryota; Fungi; Ascomycota; Saccharomycetes; Saccharomycetales; Saccharomycetaceae.